UGCCAGCAGCCGCGGUAAUACGGGGGAUCCAAGCGUUAUCCGGAAUUAUUGGGUUUAAAGGGUCCGCAGGCUGUUUGUUAAGUCAGGGGUGAAAUCCUACUGCUCAACUGUAGCAUUGCCUUUGAUACUGCCAGACUUGAGUUAUUGUGAAGUAGUUAGAAUGUGUAGUGUAGCGGUGAAAUGCAUAGAUAUUACACAGAAUACCAAUUGCGAAGGCAGAUCACUAACACUAUAUUGACGCUGAGGGACGAAAGUGUGGGGAGCAAACAGGAUUAGAUA
Molecule: ribosomal RNA, 279 nt
Filed under: uncultured bacterium
Lineage: Bacteria
Description: partial 16S ribosomal RNA
Rfam family: Bacterial small subunit ribosomal RNA
Source: RNAcentral